CCUACGGGUCGCACCAGUGGGGAAUUUUCCGCAAUGGGCGAAAGCCUGACGCAGCAAUUCCGCGUGGAGGAUGACGGUUUUCGGAUUGUAAACUCCUUUGAUCAGGGAAGAAUUUUUGACGGUACCUGAAGAACAAGCACCGGCUAACUACGUGCCAGCAGCCGCGGUAAUACGUAGGGUGCAAGCGUUAUCCGGAUUUACUGGGUGUAAAGGGCGAGUAGGCGGGACUUCAGGUCAGAUGUGAAAUACCAGGGCUCAACCCUGGGGCUGCAUUUGAAACUGUAGUUCUUGAGUGAUGGAGAGGCAGGCGGAAUUCCUAGUGUAGCGGUGAAAUGCGUAGAUAUUAGGAGGAACACCAGUGGCGAAGGCGGCAACCUGGCUCGAUACUGACGCUGAGGCGCGAAAGCGUGGGGAGCAAACAGGAUUAGAUACCCGCGUAGUC
RNAcentral lists this ribosomal RNA (442 nucleotides) under uncultured bacterium. Its description in RNAcentral is "bacterial SSU rRNA". It matches the Rfam family "Bacterial small subunit ribosomal RNA", at positions 338 to 795 of the family's 1533-position model. The record is from RNAcentral.